Chenopodium quinoa (quinoa) is the source of this 370-nucleotide long non-coding RNA. RefSeq lists it as uncharacterized. The transcript is spliced from 3 exons. The record is from RefSeq and is a predicted model, not a curated record. NCBI's taxonomy places the organism in Eukaryota, Viridiplantae, Streptophyta, Magnoliopsida, Caryophyllales, Amaranthaceae.
UUCCCUCUUCGUUCUGCUCUUCUCUUUCUCUCUCGUUUUCGCAUCUCCUUCUCUUCCCGAACUCCAUUCCAUUGAAGCAGCUCGCUCUCUCUCCAUUGAAGUGGUUUACGAGCUUUCUUACUCUACUGAAGCAGCACCUCCUUCUCUCUCCAUAUCUCUGGCCUCCAUUGAACUCACGCGUGCUCUAUAUUCUCCAUUGAAGCCGAUUCUGAGCUUUCUCACCUCUAUUGAAGCAGCUUCGAGGGUUUGUCAUUCAAGCGCGCACGGCUACACCUCCACCACAACGGCCUCCUUGUCACGGCGGCACGACCUCGAACAGUGAACCUGGUGUCUGAAUCCAACAAUCAUCUCAUUUCAUCUUGGGAUUCUA